Non-coding RNA from Arvicanthis niloticus (Nile rat), 374 nucleotides. Lineage: Eukaryota; Metazoa; Chordata; Mammalia; Rodentia; Muridae. The record is from RefSeq and is a predicted model, not a curated record.
GAGCCGUUGACUUAGGCCGUUCUCUCGGCCCAGAGUCCCCGCAGCAAUGGCGAGUCAGUCGCAGGGUAUCCAGCAGCCACUGCAGGCCUAGAAGUGGGGAGCCAAGAAGGUGUCCAAGGCCCACAAGCAAAAGAACAGGAGGCUGAAGCAGACCAAAGAAGCAGCCCAGGCUGAAAUUGAACAGUACCACCUGCAGAGGGAGGAGUUCAAGGCCAAGGCAACUGGGGUCCCAUGGCAGUGGUAGCAGUGAAGUGGAGAAGGAGACCCUCCAGAACUACUUCAAGCGGAACAGGGAUGAAGUUCUGGAUAACCUCUUGGCCUUUGUGUGUAACACCCAGCUAGAAAUCUAUGAAAACUACCGCAAAAACAGAUAG